AUUGUAAAGAACUGUCUAAGGUCUUGGGCUGAGAGUGAAAGGCUGUUCCUGCUGCCGCUCGUGUCCUCCGCUGUUCAUGGCCACUACACAGGUGACUGCAGCACUGAGAAACUGUGCCAUCAUCUGUACCAGCCUACGGCAGGCACUCAGCGGAAAGGUGUGCUUCAUGAGACACACCCUACUGCAAGUGGCUUCAUAGUCCUGAGCACCUUCAGCUCACUGCUUUACCCUGGAGACUGGCUUUGCCCUGGAUCAGAAUAAUUACAGCAUGUUUCACC
RNAcentral lists this long non-coding RNA (278 nucleotides) under Anas platyrhynchos platyrhynchos (common mallard). RNAcentral describes it as "lncRNA (ENSAPLG00000016852.1)". Lineage: Eukaryota; Metazoa; Chordata; Aves; Anseriformes; Anatidae. The record is from RNAcentral.